Molecule: transfer RNA, 73 nt
Filed under: Acinetobacter baumannii BJAB07104
Lineage: Bacteria; Pseudomonadati; Pseudomonadota; Gammaproteobacteria; Moraxellales; Moraxellaceae
Description: tRNA-Val
Source: RNAcentral
ACGCGGUAAAAUUUUCUUGAAGUAGAAGCGAGCAGUAGUUACUUUCGCAUUGUAGAAAUCAACAUCGGUUGUA